UGGAGAUAAUAACAACAUAUCUGGAUGCCUACCUGUGCAAUUUACUCUAGGGGAUCUGCUUUAGCAAAUGGUUUGGAUUUGGUGAAUUCUAGAGGUCCAACCCCUACAAUUCUGUGAUACGUUACUGCUGUUAAAGUUAUCUAGUUACCUCAGUUACAAGUGUCUGGGUUAUGACAGUAACAGCAAGUGAGUCCUGUAUUUCCAUUCCUGUGUGCUCUAGCAUUCAAAGAAGUAACUCAAAUUUCAACAUGAGCAGUUCAUGAGUUAAGAAAGGACGAACCCCAGUCUUGAUGCUCAAGGUUUCCACCUGCAGUGCCAGAGCAGACAUCAUCUUGUUAUGUUUACUUUCCAGCACAGAUGAUCCAGCAAUCUGCGUCAGCACUUGACUUAAUUGCAAGAGAAACAAGAACAGAUGGAUACUUCCUUAACACCUGCUGCUGUGGGAGUCUUUUGAAACACUUGCAAGUAAGAAAUUAUUACUGCUAUAAAACGUCUCUCCUUUUUAUUUGUUUAGAAGAUUUCUAUAGAACACACAUACAAUUUAUUUUAGGUUUCUGAAGUUAGGCUGUAGUUUUGGAAAGCUGAGGAAGUAUCACUUAUUGAAGGAAAGCUUAUUUCUAUGCCUCAUAAAAGAGGCUUUAGGAUAUUAA
RNAcentral lists this long non-coding RNA (650 nucleotides) under Coturnix japonica (Japanese quail). RNAcentral describes it as "lncRNA (ENSCJPG00005019614.1)". Lineage: Eukaryota; Metazoa; Chordata; Aves; Galliformes; Phasianidae. The record is from RNAcentral.